Oxyura jamaicensis (ruddy duck) is the source of this 521-nucleotide long non-coding RNA. RefSeq lists it as uncharacterized. The record is from RefSeq and is a predicted model, not a curated record. Lineage: Eukaryota; Metazoa; Chordata; Aves; Anseriformes; Anatidae. The transcript has 3 exons.
UGAACAUGAUUUUCCAUGAGCAACAGCUCUGUCUCUCAUGGCUAAAUCUCCCUCCCUGCCUAUAUGCACUCCCUCAUGCUGGUGACUAUCAGGUGGUGUAAGCAGGUUACAGUAGCAACAGCUAAUAGCUCUGGAAAUCUCUGGAAUUGCUGUCAGGAAGAGAAAGCUGGGGCUUCUCCCUCUGUCUCUACCUGGCAUGGUACAGUGGAGAAAUGAUGGUUCUUACACUAACUCUGCUUCCAAAAAUAUCAUCCCUGUGGUUGUUAUCACACCAGAAACCAUCCGUCUUGCUGCUGGUUCAUACCCCAGCAGUACCCUGGGGGCUGCUGCAGUGGAGUACGGCUCUGCUGGGCCAGGCACUGUGUGAAGAGCAUGAAAAGAGACCUGCUGCCCUAAGGAGCUGGCUGGAUAUCCCUGGGUAUGGUCAGGUCUUGCCCAAAAGCACUGAAGCUUUGUUCUCCUAGAGGCUGCACAAAGACCCGAAAUAACUGGGCUCUGUAUAAAUAGCUCUUUUAAUUCAA